Molecule: ribosomal RNA, 512 nt
Filed under: uncultured Ferroplasma sp.
Lineage: Archaea; Methanobacteriati; Thermoplasmatota; Thermoplasmata; Thermoplasmatales; Ferroplasmaceae
Description: bacterial SSU rRNA
Rfam family: Archaeal small subunit ribosomal RNA
Source: RNAcentral
ACACUUGUGCAAUGCGCGAAAGCGCGACACGGGGAGCUUGAGUGUCUUGGCAUAGCCAAGACUUUUCUCAUUCCUAAAAAGCAUGAGGAAUAAGUGCUGGGUAAGACGGGUGCCAGCCGCCGCGGUACACCCGCAGCACGAGUAGUGGUCACUUUUAUUGAGCCUAAAGCGUUCGUAGCCGGUUUUGUAAAUCUUCAGAUAAAGCCUGAAGCUUAACUCCAGAAAGUCUGAAGAGACUGCAAGACUUGAGAUCGGGUGAGGUUAAACGUACUUUCAGGGUAGGGGUAAAAUCCUGUAAUNCCGGAAGGACGACCAGUGGCGAAAGCGUUUANCUAGAACGAAUCUGACGGUAAGGAACGAAGGCUAGGGUAGCAAACCGGAUUAGAUACCCGGGUAGUCCUAGCUGUAAACAUUGCCCAUUUGAUGUUGCUUUUCCGUUGAGGGAAGGCAGUGUCGGAGCGAAGGUGUUAAAUGGGCCGCUUGGGNAGUAUGGUCGCAAGACUGAAACUUCA